UUAUAGCCCUGAUGGGAGCGGCAUCUUUUUGUUCCGAUAGCUAUCGGAACAAAAAAUACAGCGGACAGCAGGUAGAGGG
Molecule: small RNA, 79 nt
Filed under: Flavobacterium saliperosum
Lineage: Bacteria; Pseudomonadati; Bacteroidota; Flavobacteriia; Flavobacteriales; Flavobacteriaceae
Description: Flavo-1 RNA
Rfam family: Flavo-1 RNA
Source: RNAcentral